UUCUUACCUCAUCUUUCAGACAACACUAGAGAGUGAACUACAAAACCUUUACCAAAUGGGGUUCGUCUCAAAUCCAUCGACUAUGUCCAGUUUCUCACCUAAUGGUCGAUUGAAACCAGAGCUCUAGAAGUUCAAG
This is a non-coding RNA of Camelina sativa (false flax), 136 nucleotides long. The record is from RefSeq and is a predicted model, not a curated record. Lineage: Eukaryota; Viridiplantae; Streptophyta; Magnoliopsida; Brassicales; Brassicaceae.